ACUUAGGUGUGGUGUGAAGCACUACACAAAAUGGCGAAGAUUGAUUUUCAAACACUUGAGUGACAGACGAUAUUUAUUUGUACAUUAUUUAAAAAAUCACAAUGGCAGAUGUUGAGGUGGAUUUAGCAAAACUUCCUCAAGGCAUAAAUGAACAAUUGCGCGAGCUUGAACUUGAAUUAUCAGAGGGUAAGAGUCUUAGAGUAAAUUUUCAUUGUCAGAACUCGGUGCCAAAAUAUUAGCACAUAAUCAAUGAUGAGACUGACUUCCUGUUAUUAUCAUAGAAAAGAUAAACACUUCCAAUACACAAUCUGGAAAUGCAAGACACAUGUCAUUUUGUUGCAAUGCCUAUAUUCAGCCCCUGAACACAAAGUAACAUGUAAAAACAGGGACAGCUCAUUAGUGAGUCAUUUUGUUUCAGCAUACAAAGAAGUGCAAAUUAGUGUGUUGUCAUUUUCAACAGGUUCAUGAUUUAUGUUUUUGGGUUUGAACAUAGGAUGAAUUAAAGAAAUGCACAUUAAAUAAGUCAAGAAAUAAAUAUAUAUAUAUUAUAGACAAUAGACAAUAUUUAUUAGCACAAACACUUUUACAUUAAAUGGUUAUGGCAUACAAAAUACACCUUAUCGCUAAUCCCGGCUGACCCGGCCGCUUGAACUUUUGACGCGUACAACAAUCACUUUUCCAUUGUAACGUCAGAUAUUUUGUUUUAUGACGUCAAAAUUUUACAUCCAGUAAUGGCGGACAAAUAGCGAUAAGGUGUAUUAAGAAAAUAAACUGACAAUAGUUAAAUUGAUUAUAAUUCAGACCUCCAGAUAAGAAUUCACAAAUUGGGUUUUUUACCCACCAUUUUCUUAUAUAAUUGGGUGAUAAAGUUUUUUGAUUGCAUUAUCAAUUCCAAUUCACCCCUCAUGGUAAUAUCAAAUUGGGUUUUUCACCACCAAGCUCCUUAAUGUAUUGGGUUUUUUCAUCAACACAAUAUUGAAUAUUUAGGCAACAUCAACCCCAGAUUUUUUUCCCAUCUUAAAUAUGUUUCUUUCUUUGUUUAACUGUUUUAUUUGGUUUAGGGUUAGGGUUAUUUGCUAGCUGUUUUAUUUGGUUUAUUGACUGAGAAGCAAUUGUUGGUUUAAUUUGUGUUCCGUUUCAAACCUUCUGCCAGUUUUGUAUUUUCUCAUAUACAGUACUGUUCAAAAAUAUCGAUUCGAUAACUUUUUUCUCCGAUUUCCGUGUUUCUCGGAAUCACACCGAGUACCGCGGAUUUCACUCCUAAAAUCCUCCAAAGAUUCUCUCCCAACACCGCGUGGCUGUUAAUUGGUUUAUUGCCCAUCGGAUGUACUUCAAAUUAACGACGCGUGACAACAAUAAUUGGAUUACCCAGAUAAUUUACCUUUGAACAUUUAAUCGAUCUUGGUUGCACAGGUGUGCUUUAAAAUCACGGUAUUAUAAAUUGAACAAAUGUUUUCCUUUCUUUGACAGAUAAAGAUGUGACAAUAUCAUUUAGAAUAAGAUAAUUAUUAUCUUUUAUAUUUGUGUCUUAUGUCGUUAUCUUUAAAAUAGAACGUACAUACGAAAAAGUAUGAAGAAAAUUGUUAUUUUGUGUUUCUAUUACAGUCCGGUCAGGUCAUACAUUGUGUUCUUUCAGCAAGGACGAUUUUGCCACAAUUAGUUUCUUUUAUAACUUAUUCAAUAAGCAAUAUCAGCGCAUUAAUUGUUCAUUAUUAAAAAAUCAACUGGCUAAUAAAAUCAUGUUUUUUUUCGGUAACCCGAUUCAUCGGAUCAUCAAGUAAACUUAAUUUAUUGAGCAAUGUAAAAUAUGAUGUUUCACCACCUCGGUACAUUUAUACAGACUUGAAUAAUUCAAAUUACGAACAGAAACUGUUAAAUGACAACUCUGUUGACAAAGGAAAUAAUUUCAAGUGAUAUUGAUAGUGUUCGUCAUUUUCGCAUUUUACGGAACGGUUUUCAAAUUGACGAAAGUAUUUAUAUCAAUUUCGUCAUUUGAAUUUGGAAAGUGAAAAAUAUUUUCACAUUAAUUAUAUUAUAAAUGUACUAUAAUUCUACCGGUGUUUGACAAGUUUAUGACGCUCAAUCAUUUUACGUUUACAAAAGAUGUUAAAAGUUGUGAUGAUAAGUAAUCCGCUUAUCGCUAUCCGAUAGGUCACUAAUCCUUUAAUUAUUAAUAAAAUUUAUCAAACCUCAUAAUUGCCCAUCAUAAUAUUCUAUUCCAGUUAAAUCAGUCAUCAUUUUAUUUUCAAAAUUUCCCAACCGCCUACAAUUGGCAUUUCUUUAUCGUAUUAUCAUGAUUAUUGUCAUUUGAAUACAAUCAGUCACCCCGGACAAUUUCCAUCAUAAUUUCCAUUAAUACAUCACCAACUGUAAAUCUAUAUUAUUGACCAUGGACAUAUAACUAAUGUACUUUCUUUUUUGAAAGAUAAAACAUUAAAAAUUCAAAUAGUUAAAAAUGUGUUCACGUUUAUUCGGAUAAGAAUUAUAUUUUUCCCGAUAAAUCAAUUGUAAAAGGACCUUCUGGAGCCUCAAUACGAUUGCACAAAAAAUGUCGUUCUGCAACUUUAGAAACCUUGAAUGGACUUUCCCACGGUCGGCCAGAAAGGUCACCUGAGUUUACUAGUACGCGAUAUUUUUUCCCGCCCUUUAAAAAACUCGUGCUGUGGAUAACAUUGAUGUUAACUAUUUUUAGCAUUUAACAUUGUUAAGUAACUCAAGUUCAAGUUCAACCCAAACUGUUGAUAACUGAGAUGUGUAUCGUGGAAUUGUCUUCGCACGGCAAAUAAUUGUUUUUAAAAUCUUUUGUUGAAAAUACACAAAUUUACAUUCAUUGUGCGAAAGUUAAUAUUAAACAAAGACGAAUUAAUGCAGCUGGAAGUAUUCCUGUUGUAACGGAAAUGUAUUAUUAUUCUGCUGUACUGCCAACAAAUCGUAAAACGAAAAUGCCGUAAUUGUUAAGCAUAACGAAUGGUGAAUAAUCUUUUCCUUUUUACUUGAAUAUACAAAACUUUCAAACACGUAAUUUUAUUUAACUGCUCAGAUUAAUUUAGCGAAAGUUUCCGGUUAUUUUUACACAAGUAUGCUCAUUUCGUAAAUAAAAUAUUAAUUUACUGGUGAAGACAUCGAGGUCAAAAUUAAGUAGUUUUCAUUUUUUAUAAAACUUAAAUACAAUUGAAAGAAUUAACAACAACAUUUUGCUUUUAAAUCUUUUAUUCAUUCCAGCAAUUAGAUAAUCGUAAAAAGAAAAUGCCGUAGAUUUACACAAUUAAUACGGGGCAAUCAUUUUGUCUAAUGAAUGGUGAAUAAAUUUUCCUUUUUACUUGCAUAUAUAAAACUUUUAGACUUGUAAUUUUUAAAUAAAGACUUUAACUUUGAAGUAGAAUAUUUUGUUUUUCACAUAUUCCGCUAUAUUUUAUAAUCGUUUUUUUUUUAAAGCAAGUACAUUAAGGUUAAGAUAUUUUUUAGAGAUGGCUAACAAAAAAUACGAAAAUAUUUUGACUUUAGUUUUUAUUACCACAAAUGAAAUUUAAUUAGUAUAAAAGACAUUUAAAAUUAUACACCGGUUUGACACUUAAACUGGUACAGUAGACCGGAAAUAUAACUCUUUAUAACUUCAACCUUUACCUGUCAGGUAAUCCAAUUACCCAUUCAGUCUUGUGCCGGUAUAGAUCAAAGUAGGAUAAGGGCAAUUAAUUCCUCGGUGUCGAGAGUGAGCUCGUUAUCACAAUAAACAUUUACCUGAUUUGGGAGAGAUUACUCCCAAAUUCCUCCCAACAUUUUGAGAGGAAUAUCGGAGUUUGUCGGAGUGGCUCCGACAUUUUCCUCGGUGUAGGGUGUGGGAGAGUUGGUACUCUUGAACUGUACUGUAAACUGUAAAACAAACGGAUAUGUGUAUUCACAGGCACUCGUCUUAUACCUUUAUAUAAUAAAUUCUGAGACCAGUGUCUGUGUGUGUAUUCAUUAAUUAACCGUAAAUGAAAAAAAUAGUAUAUAAACUCUAAUUAUACUUGAAUGUUUUUUGUUUAUUCCAAUUUUCAUAAAUCUGGGUUUAGUUGUCUUUUAUUAGAACUUUUGGUUUCUGAUGCUUUAUCAUGUCAUAAUUAAUUUGGCCUUUCACUUUUUCCAACUGAUUUUGUUUUUGAGGAAACCCUAGCUGCUUUUAUUAGCAAUGUUUUCGUUAAGGUACGUACACACACCUGUGUGUUCGAUGGACGCUUCCUUAAAACACUGGCUGAGUCUUGUUAUCAUCAUAACUUUCCCUAAGCUUUUAAAAAGAAGCAGAAAACAUGCUUUUAUUCAAUAUUUUUACCGGACAUUCACUUUUGUUUUAAUUCAAUGUAUGUAAUGAUAAAUCCCAAGCAAUCCGAAAAAAAUAUGACUUCAUGACACACGCUAAUUGGAUAAACGCCGAGAAGAUCGAAAUGUUUUCAAAAACACGUGUACCUUGAGCAACGAAAAACUCUAACAGGGACCCAUUUCAGCUACUUGAUGCAGGAUCUAUUUUUAGAACGAAAGGAAAUACUAAUUAUAAAUAUUAUAAAAAUAGUUUACGCGACGACUGUAAACAGAUAAGGGUAAAUAACGGCAAAUGGUAGCCAAUAAAAGGGUUGAGAACUCAUGGUUUUGGAAUAUAAUUGGGUUUUCCUUUGAAUUAAUUGGGUUAUUGAACCCUGCAAUGGGCAAUUGCAUUGGGUUUUUUAUUAUUUGUAUUGGGUGAUCUGGAGCUCUGAUAAUUAUAUUUGAGUGAUAGUGUACUGUGUGUCGAGAGAUUUGGGUGAAGGUCGUUUCGUAACUUACUACAUGUAGGUCGUUUUGUACCUGAGAUGUUUUGUAACCUUAUAUAUAUAAUAAUAGUAUAAGUCGUAGGUUAAAACAUUACAAUAUUGUUAUUAUUAGAUGAACAAUUUAAACUACAUGUAACACUUUAUAACCAUAUAUAAUUACACCAGGUACGAAACGUCUCAAUUUUCGAGACUCUCACAUUGUUUUAGCUUUGAAUGUAAUGUUUUUAAGAGGAGUUCUUCAUUCAAUUACUUUUCUGAGUUUACAUCAAAACAAGUUUACACAACAAUCAUUAUUUUCUAAUAAUUCAACUGGCAAUGACUGGAAUUCAAUCUAAAAUUGGAUCGAAUGUGUAGGGAGCUAUAUAUUUCAAAUAUUCCUUCAUACCAGCCACCAUCAUAUCCUGGAACAACAUACCUACUCUACAUCUAAAUUACAGCACCAUUUUUAACUGUACGUAUACAGAUCUCUUUUUAACUGUACAUACUUGAAGGUUUUUAGCUCACGCUGGAGUAUAUAUACACUCAAAAAAAGAGUCCACUGCUUGACAGGAAGAUAGAUAGAUAGGUGCAAAUGGACCUUGUGGGACAAAGUGCAAGGUGCGAAUGUGAAGGAUGCAAAAGUGUAAUAAUAAAAUAUGGGCACGAACAGACCUGAUAUUACAAGAGGCAUGAAACUCUUAGAUGAACAAUCAAGAAUGUUCAGUAAAGUAAGAUCUACAAACCCAUCACCAUCACCAAAAUACAAUUUUGUCAUGAAUCCAUCUGUGUCCUUCGUUUAUGAUAUGCACAUAGACCAAGGUGAGCGACAGAGUUUCCUGAAUAUAAUUUGUGUUUAAGAGUAUGGAUCUCUCUGAAAUUGUACUAAAAGGUUCCCUACUACAAAGGAAAGCCUUUUUGAAAAAUUUGAUGAAGAAUCUUUAGUUGCACAGUAUUGUGCAAUAGAUUUGUAAGAUCUUGACAUUUAUUUUGUGUCAAAAACCUAUAGUGAAAUUUUGAAAUCACAAUCCAAAUUCAGACAGUAUCAAGCUUGAAUAUUAUUUUUAUGUUCAAAUUUGCCCCAGCUGUUUAGAGUUCAACCUCUGUGGUCGUAUCAGGCUGCGCUCAUCAACGCAAUUUAUUAUACUUCCAAAAGAAGAAUGUAGAAACAAAUUUAGUGAUGAUAAAGAAUGAAUAACUUCCUCAUUCUUGUCAAAGGAAAUUUAUUUCACAUGAGAUAAAUGUAUAAAUGACAUUUACACAUUUUUUUCUCUUGACCUUCAUCGGAAUAAAUUGUUGGCAAAUAAAUUGCUGGCGUACAAAUACUUAAAAAACAGAUCUUCUGUAUCUCAUGUAUUUGACAUAUAUAUAUAACUUAAAUAAAUUAUGCAAUUAUUAUCAUCAUGAUCAUCAUGAUCAUGUUGAUUAUACAUGUUUAAUUGUAUUAAUUGCUGAAAAAAUCGAAGUUAUAUAUAUAGCAGCCAUUCAGUUGCAUUAAAAUCAAAUUUACAGGAGAUUUUUUAUGAUUUUAAAUUCAAAUUUUAGUGGUGAAAGGGUCUUCAGACAUGUCAGAUGAAUGACUUUAUGCAAUAUUAAUUAUACAAAUUCUGCAGUAAAAUUCUACCAUUGGAAGCAUGUUUUUACAUGCCGAUUCAACUUCCACCGUGGACAGUCAGAUUGAUAAGUUUACUUGGGUCAUAUCUAAAUUUAUGAGCUCGAUAAGUAUAGAUUAUUGGGUUUUCUAUAUAUUGAUAUAUCAUAAAAUAUCAGUCGCAGGGACCACAAUGUGAUUUUUUUGGUCUUUACUGGCCUUUUCCACUCCUUAAGACAGUGUUAUGAUUGUUGAAGCAAGCUUGAUAACAUCUCCUCACACAUUGUGAGGUUGCUGAUAACUUCUUCUCAGACAUGAUCCAGUGACGCCACUGACAAUGCCUGCUUAGAUCUCAAACUUCAAAGCCAUGAUAUGAGAGUAAGGAAGCCACUGAGCAGGGUGAUAUAGCUAUAGGCGCAGGAAAGGAUAAACAGCUUUAUGACAUUGUAAUUGUUGGUACUACAAUGAAGUUUACCUAUUAGUUGUGUGUCUUACCUUAUAAAAUAGAUGAGCAUGUAGAACCCCAUCAUAGUUACUUUGUGACCUUCAUUGCUUUUCGUCAGGUACCACUGUUAGAUUCUUUGUUAGCAAUCAUCACUCCUCAGUCCUUAGUACCAGGUAUACUUUUGCAAAUUGUUUUGGUCUUUGGUGCGACCCAAUGACAAUCACGGUACACCACUUGCUAGUUCUGUGAGUACAGCUGUACUAGUCAUGCUAGUAUAUGUAACACUUUUGUUAUAACACAGCAUGUAGACCUUUAUAAAAUCUUAUGUUGCUGACAUAAGGAGCCUAAUGUAGAAGCUUGUCACAGGAAAUGUUUUCUUGUCUCUGCCCUCAGGGAUCUGUGCAUGUACAUGUACAUGUAUGUAUCUUUGUGACAAUCAGUUUUGUUUGUGUUUGCUCCAAAUUCAAGAUCUUGGUGUUUUUAUUUUAUUUUACAGCUUCAGUUCCAUGUAGACUCCCAUCGCAAGGAUCUGUGGCAUUUAAUUUAUGAUCGUGUAAUUCAAAGAAUCCCAUGAUGACCCUCAUUAGCUUAUGCUAGGAUUAUUAGGAACCUGAUACUUUGUGACACGUUUUUUCAGAUUCCUAAAUUUGGGAACCCCAGAUACAAAUAUGGAACCUGAAUGAUCAUAUAAACUUGGUUACUAAGCUUUUAUAGGUUUCUAAUUUAGGAACCAAAUAUAGAUCCCUGAAUGGUCAUAUGACUUGGUGACGAAGCUUUUUUUAUUCUAAAUUUAGAAACCCCAUGAAGAACCCAAAAUGAUUUACCAACUUAGCGUCUAAGCAAUUUUAAAGUUUCUUUGUAAAGAAAUCCCAUGUAGACCCCCAUCACAGGAGGCAUAAUGUAUUGUAUGGAGUGGAGUGUUGGAGUGGAGUAUUGGAGUGGAGUGUUGGAGUGAGAUUUUGGAGUGAAAUUUUGGAGUGAGAUUUUUGGAGUGAGAUUUUGGAGUGAAAUUUUUGGAGUGAGAUUUUGGAGUGAAAUUUGAUGAAAAAUUUUGUAUAGUGAAUAAUUUAAAAACAAACUAUACUGAAAUAGAAAUAAAAAAAAUGCAUGCAGUGAAGUAUUCGAAUAAUAAUGUUUCGAAUAAUAAUGUGAACGACCUCAUAUCAACAGUCCUUUAUAAACAAUUUCAAAUUCUCCUGAUCUACUGAUGCAUAACUAAGAGUUAUAUAAUUAUUUAGCAUUGUGAUUUCCCAAUCUCUUAAGAAUCUGGCAGCAUCCUCAUUAGGAGAAUUUUACAUGCUCGUGUAUUAGGUUUAGUCCCCAUUUCCAUUCUUUAUUAUAUUAUAUUAUUUUGUAAAAUGAACAAAAAAUCUUCACAUUAUCAUGUUUAAAAGUAUCAUAUUUAUUGUUUUUGCACUGUUGUUUUUAGUUUUUUAAAUGAUUUUGUUAUAAUAAAACACCCAUGCAACCACGCAUCCCAUAUUGCAGAUAGGACCCGACACAAAUAAUUAAUUUCGUGUUUCGGCAGUUAAGCUUGGGAUGGUCAUUUUAAGAUGCAUUAUUUGAAUAUAAUCAAAUAUGAAAAUUAUUCAUGUUUAUAUUGAUAUAUUUAUAUUUUAAUCAGGGAUGAUUCCACUAUAUAGUUUAGGGCCGCUGAGCGGCCCUUAAAUCUGCCAGCGGCCCUUAAAUCUGUCAGCGGCCACAAAAAAAUGUUUGUGAAUAUAAAUUCCAAAUUCAGGAAAAUAAAAUAAAAACCGGUAUUUCCGGAAAGGUUUCAGUCACCGAUUACAGCAACUAUAAUUUUUCAUAGUUUGUCGUCAAAACGUAGUAAAAUCCGGAUAAGAAUGCUGACUACGAUGGCAUUUUAUUAACAACGAUUUAAUUAUGUCAACGGGAGGUAAACAAUUUUAGCAGCCGGAUUCAAUUGAAUAAAAUUGUAUGGGAGUAUUUGAAUUAAAAAAAAGUAGAUCGCUCAGCAGGUUAAUCAAAAACAUGCUUUUGGUCAAAAUGAGUGUCAAAGCAGACCUUGGCAAAGAACAAAUUCAAAUUUUGAUAUUACAUUGAUAAAUAAAUUUUAAUGGGCGCCGAUCUUAUAAAAUCAGAUCGCCCAGCAGAGCUGGUUAUGUAACUUGAUUAAAACUUGUUUUGUAAGAAGUUAUUUUAUAUUUUGCUCUUUUUCCUCAAAAGACAAAAGUUUGAGCGUUUUUGAAAAUAAUAUUGAUGAUAGACCAUUCAUGAAAUGAGCCCCCCCCCCCUGAAGUACGAUGUUAUCAUUAUGGAACUGAUAUAAAAAAUUAUCCAUAAUUUUUAAGUUCACUGGUGCCUGGUGCAAUUGCUUUAAAUAUCUUAUCAAUUAAGUAUAUAACCUUUUGUAAUUGCUUUUCUGAUUUCGACAAUUGGCCAGUUCAAUUUGAAAUCCAUUUGAAUCAAGGUAUAACGUUUAUAAAGUUGAUCUGUUGAAAAAAUACCCAAUGGACGACUUUUUCAAUGGUUAAUAUGGCAAGCCGUUUUGCUAUUUAAUCUAACUUCAAGAUAUCUCAUAAACUUUAGUAAGAUAUCUUAUAUAAUAGUUCAUUAGAUAUCUUAUAUAGUUGUAAGAUAUCUUCUCAAGUUUAUAAGAUAUCUUACAUGAUAGUUCAUGAGAAAUAUGUUAUAAAAUUUAUGAGAUAUCUUAGCUUAUAAGAUAUCUCAUAUAGUUUUUUUAUAAUUGAUAUUAGAUAUCUUCUUUAUUAUAUAAGAUAUCUAUUUAUAUAAGAUAUAUUAUAAAAAAGAUUAUUUAAGAUAUCUUAUAUAUCAUAUAAGAUAUAUUAUAAGAGACAUCGUAUAGAAAUUAUAAGAUAAUUCAUAUUAUAUAUCUUAAAUAAUUUUUUUAAGAUGAUAUCCAAUAAACUAUAUAAGAUAUCUUGUAUAAAAAAUAUUUAUAAGAUAUUUCAUAUACUUAAUGAGAUAUCUUAUAAACUUGAGAAGAUAUCUUAUCAAGUAUAUAAGAUAUCUUAUAAGUAUAUACGAUAUCUUAUAAUAAAAUAUAUAAGAUAUCUUAUUAAGUUUUUAAACAUUAUAAGAUAUCUUAUGAAAUAUAUAAGAUAUCUCAUGAAAUAUAUAAGAUAUCUCAUAUAAUAUAUAAGAUAUCUCAUAUAAUAUAUAAGAUAUCUCAUAUAAUAUAUAAUAUAUCUCAUAUAAUAUAAAUAACUCAUAUAUAUAUAAGAUAGCUUUAAAAAAUUAAAUUAUAUAAGAUAUCUCAUAUAUUAAAUGAGAUAUCUUAUAAAAAUCUUAUAUGUUAUAUAAGAUGUCUUAUAUAUUAUGAGAUAAUUUGAGAUAAUUUAAAAUUCGAAUAAAUAGCUAAACUGCUUGCCAUAGGUUUAUGUUAGCUGGUAUAUAUGCCUUGUUUACCAAAGUUAAGAUGCUAGUGCAUCAUGUGCAAUGGUAUUCAUGUAUUACAACUUCCCUGGUCUAAAUCCAAUAACUUCUUCAAUCAUUGUGCAGAUAAAGCUUAAUAUAUAUUCCGUUUUUACAGGUCAGGAAAAUGACAUUAUUUCGUUUUAGAUUGUAUGCAUAAAAAUUCCCAAAUUGGAAAAAAAAAUUCCCAUUUUGAUUUUAAAGGGACCCAUUUGAAAACACCUGGAAUCAUCCCUGUUAAUUCUUCUUCAAUAGAUCUAGUUAUUAUGACAGAUCUGCCAUCAUCAGGGGUCCAACUGUCAAUUUUAUGUUACAUUCUUUAACUUUGAUCUACUAAGCAUAUCUCCAAUACUUUUAUGUUUGCUAUACGCAACUAUUGGUGCUGUAUUGAAUAUUUGUACAGAGUCUUCGUCGAACUGUAAUAAAUGCCAGUGUUUCAUCAUAUUAUGCGUGCCCCAGAAUUUUCGUUUAUUUUUAUCAUGUUGCUGUAAGGCUAGGGUACCUGAUGAGGAUAAUGCCUAGGUAAUAUAAAACCUAAACCGAAACACCAGGUGAAAUUACAUCUUCAAAUCAAUUAUUUCUUACCAAUAUCUAUGCGUAUAUAUGUGUGCAUAAUUUUACUAUUGAAGUAAUAAUAAAUAGAUACUUGCCUACAUAUAUAGUUUGGUUCAAAACGAAACUAAUUGUAAUAUUGACCGACUAUUUCAAAUAUUUAAAUACAUGAAAAUAAACUAUAUAUGUAUUUAAUGAUACGAUAGGUCACUGAUUCUCUGAAGAUAUAUACUGUUACAAAAAUAGAAGAGUGUGUCCUAGAGAUAAUAUUGAGAUGUUUGGAUUGCUUAAGGACUCGUUCUUAUUUCAACAUCUCUGAAGAUUUAUGUUGUUACAAGAAAAGGAGAAUUGUGUCUUAGGAGUUGUAUUGAGAUAUUUGGAUUGGUUAAGGACUCGUUUUUAUUUAAACAAAUUGACGUCCCCCAAAAAUUGGUUGGAUGGGGUCAUUGAGUGCAAAAAAUAAAUUUUCUUUUACGAUAGGGUUGUUGUAUAUCAAAUGAAAGGUCAUGAUGUGUACAUUUGAAAUAUCAAAUUCCCAACCUCCAAAAAUUGGUUGGAUGGGGUUAUUAAGUGCAAAAAUCAAACUUUUUAGAACAUGGCGUUGUCGCAUAUCAAAUGAAAGCUCAUCUACCCUGUUUUACAUAUAUCAUACUUCCGAUCUCAAAAAUGUAGGCGGAUGAGGUCAUUAAGUGUAAAAAGCGAAAAGUUUCAGAAGGUAUGCUUGUCGUAUAUCAAACGAAUGGUCGUACAAAGAACAUUACGAAAACAUCACUUUUACAGGAAAGACCUUUCAAUUGUUUUACAAACAAUUGAGAUACUAGUUAUUACGAAUUUUAUUCUUUGCACAAAGAUAUGAGCAUUAUUAUGAUAUUCUGGUUCAAUGAGUUUUCCCAGAUUUAUGCCCAUUAGGACUUCGAAAUUCUGUGCAAUUCAAUGUGCACUUUGUCACCACAAGUCAAAUGACACUCCCACAAGGUGAGUUAAUGAGAGGAGCAUAUUUCAUAUUUUUAAAUGAACAUGACCAAAUAAUUAUUCAUGAUUAUCUGUGAUCAAAAUUUUAAUCAAUAUUUAGCACUGUAAUUUUUCUUUAUUUAUUUUUAAUGAAUACUUGUUCAAAAUUAAACAAAACAUUUAACCCCUGACAAUCUACUUAUAAUAUACUAUAUAUAUACUCUAAAAUUUCACCAAAAAAAAAAUCACUCCAAAAUCUCACUCCAAAAAUUUCACUCCAAAAUCUCACUCCAACUCCAACACUCCACUCCAAUACUCCACUCCAAUACUCCACUCCAACACUCCACUCCAUAAAAUACAUUAUGCCAUCACAGGAGUUUGAUGACAAUGUGAACAUUUUUGUGUCUGACCUAGGGGAAGCUGCACUCUUUCCUAUCAUACUUUUUCUUUCCUUGUGUUAAGUGGUUGUACAUAAUGAUACGUUUUAGUGUUGUAGUCGUACUGACAAAAAUGUUAUAUUGUAACGUCAUAUUUUAACUCAUUUGGAUAUUAUGUGUUGAAAUAUUCGUUACUAAAUUAACGAUGUACAAUCUGGGUGAUAUUAUAGAAGGAUUACAAGACAAUGAGUUUCAUGAUGAAAAUGAAGGUAAAUGUUUUAAUGUUAUGUAGUUACAUUUGACUGUAAUACGACAUACAAGUGUAAAUGUAUUACAUAUUCAUAAAUGUUUUUUGUUUGUUUGUUGGUGAACGAACUUUAUGAAUUUAUGUAAAAUAUAUGGCAUGUACAUUGUUUUGUACAUAUAAAUUUGGGAUGGGUAAGUCUUUGCAUUUGAAAUCGUGAAUACUGUCUGUGUAUUUUGAAUUGAAAUGUAUAUAUUACAUUAAUUUAAUUCAGUACACAAAAAAAAUAAGCUUUAAUUCUUUAAAAUUUGAAAUUUCCAUUACUGCAGACAUUUAAGCCCCCUUCUUAAUUUGUAUACUACCAUCCUUUGUAGCCAAACCCCCAACAUUUUAAAAUUUCAAGUCUUCAUUCUGUAAAUUCAACAAAGAGAAUGUUUUGUAUAUGAAUCACUGAACUCAAAAACCUUUAAUUUACAAGUACAAUAUACAUGUAUGAAAGAUAGACCAUUAUCAUAUAAAGUUCAUCGUUUAAUAUCACAAGAAUACAUGUACAACACUGCAUUUGCAUUUUCUAUAGUCAUGAUAGUUUAUCCCCUCUAAGUCUUUAAGAAUGAUGACAUUUUGUGUUGCCAAUUAAUCAUUGACAGAAGUUAUACCUGCUGUCUUUAAUUUUGUUUUGUUGGGAUACUGUCUAGUCGAGAUUACUCUCAUGUCCAAGGGCUGUUUUGUUGUCUGGCAAAACAGCCGUUGGAGUCAGAGUAAUCUCGGACUAGGAUACUGUCAUAUUGAAGUAUAUAGACCUGUUGGUGACCUUCUGCUGUUGUCUGUUCUAUGUUCGGGUUGUUGACUCUUUGACACAUUCCCCAUUCCCAUUCUCAAUUUUAUUAUAGUGUGCCUCUCAUCUCUUAUAUUUUUGAAAUCAGUGUUAGGGACGACAUCAAAAGAUCGAUGUAGGAUAAAAAACUUAAAUCAAAUAGUUUGGGAUUGGGGCUAAACAUUGCUGCAAGUUUUGUUAAUCCAAAAUCGAUUUUACAUAUAUCCAUAUAGGUAAAUCAAUUUUUCCCAAAUUAAGUUAAGAAGGGGGUGGGGGUCAGUGAAAAAACUGUGAGUUAAGUUUUUUUAUCCUACAUUGAACUUUUGAUGUCCUCUCUUAGUGCUCAAGCAUAGCUUUUUGCCUUGAGAUUCAAAAGUCUAUUGUGAAGACUAAUUUAAGAUAUUUAUCUAUUAAGGGACACAAUGUGGGGACGUGGGAUAAAGGGGAUAGCAAAGUUGGGAUGUACUGGAUGUGUUUUUAAGGGGGUAUAAAAGGCAGGAUCUUGGGGGAGAAAAAAAGGGCAAUUUACAAAAAAUUGAAAUUAGUGCAAGGAGCUUCCCUAUGUCACUGUCAUCCCCUCUUUGUAUGUCUAAGGAAGAGUUUAGAAAAUCGUGUAAAUGUUCAACCGAUGGCAGUGACAAACUGACUGAUCUUUCCUUGUAUGAUACACUUUAAACUUCAAUUGUUUGUUAUGAUUGUUAGAAAGAUCAGACAGGAACAUUCAUUAAGGAUGGGAUGUUAAUGUUUAAAACAUUUCUGAAAAAGUAAGAUACUGAGUAUAUAAAGUUAAGCAACAUAUAUGUUUUAAUUUAAAGAAUGUUGCAAAAAAUAAUUAGUUGAAAUAUUUUGGUCAAUUUAGAAUUACAUUAUUGUUAUUUAUACUAUGUGUUAAAAAUAAUUGAGUUAUUAAUUUAGUAAUAAAAAAAAUUGAAAUAUGAUUUUAAAAAUAUUCGUUGCUAAACAUUUUUCACUCAGUAUAGAUAUUUGUUUAUUUUGUUGUGCAGGGAUCCAUAUUAUUGCAAUUUUCUGGGUUAUGAUUUCAGAGUUGCAAGGAAUAAAAUAAACCAUAAUAUCUUUGUAAAACAUAUAUGCUGCCGUUUGUCAUUACUCAUUAGCUUUCAUUCAUAAUUUGGCAUAACUCAGUCUUAGUACUUUCACAUCUGGGACAUGUAUACAAAAAGAAUCAAAAUAUACCUCUUCUUAGGUAAUGUGAAGGUAUACAUUAUCACUGAACUAGUAUACAUAUUUGUUUAGGGGCCAGCUGAAAGGCGCCUCAGAGUUUGGGAGUUUCUCGCUGUAUUGAAGAUCCAUUGGUGGCCUUCAGCUGUAGUCAGCUCAAUGGUCAGGUUGUUGUCUUUUUGACAUAUUUCCUAUUUCUAUUAUCAAUUUUAUGGGUGGAAAAAAAUGACAUUUAACUCCCUCAACUGAUGGUGACCGACAGAUUAUUUGGUCAAUCUCAUAUACUAAAUAUAUGAAUUCUAUAUGAGGUUUUAAUUUAAAUAUAACUAACAGGAAACAAUUUAAUUUUAAGUACAUUUAUUUUUUGGCAACAUUUAUAUUUUAUUACAACAAGGAUGGUAUACAUUGUACAUAUGAUGUAUCAUACAUCAUGAUCAUAGGAAAAAAAUCAAUGGGAAAAAAAUUUGCAUUUUUUUAAUUGAAAAAAUAAAAUCAAGAAGGGUUAUCACAAAUUAUGGGAAAUAUGAAAACUUAACAGUGUAAUGAGGCACUUUUUUGUCUGUAAAAUUUGUUAUGUCUAUAGGAAUCUGAUUUGUUCAAUUAGCCUUGGUAUGCCACCCCCUCCUGAUAGAUCAGUGUUUAAAAUGGCCUUAUCACACAACAUAUCUUUCUAAUGUUGGUAGGUUGUUAGAAAUUUACAUGACUAGUGAAAAAAAUUGAGGGGCCUGAAGCUUAGUAUAUAUAUGAUACGAAAGUAUACUGUACUUGUGAAUUUCCUAUGCAUACUUUAAUAGUUGAGUUAGUAUGUUUUUAUAUGUUUCUUUAAUAUCAGAAGUUUUUUUUACUAAAUGUGUAUAUUCAUGGAUGUAAUAAACUAAAGCAUGUUUUAGUUAUAUAUAGAUGAUAAACUAGACCACUUUCCCCAGGAAAUACUUGAAUCUCUCUUUUCCUGACUACACAUUUAGUUUAGUAUUAUAUUAGUACAUUGAGUGCCAGUGGUAUAAAUCUGUUACAUUUAUUUUUCAACUUGUCAUUGAAGCUUUUUAUUUCUGACUAGUGAUUUGUCAGUUGUGUAACUCAUUCUAUGGUUGUUCUAUAUAAGAAUAAGUUUUAUAGAACCAUGCCCACAGUUGGUAUCUGGGGUAGACAUGGUAGAUGGACUUGAAAUAGCAAACCAGUUGUUUCGAAAAAUAUGAUUAUUAAUGAUUCUUUGCCCACCACCAAAGGGUGUGCUCUAAAUACUGUUUGAAAGGUCAAGGUCAUAAUGUUAGUCCAACUUACUAUGCCCAUAUUUAAAUUAUACAAAAUUGAGUGCCACUCAGUCUUCACAAUAGACUUUUAAAUCUAAAAGCUGGAAGCAAAUAAGAAAAUUUAAGUUAAUUUAUAUUGGCCUGUGGAGAUGAUUUUUAAAGGCCCAGCAGAAGUUUACCAAUCCUGUGCUUGUGAGGAUGUGGCUGAGCGCAGAGGGUGUCCACUGAGAAAUUUUGAAUGCGACAAAGGAUGUUUAAUUGAUACUUGGUAUACAUAUUAUUUGUUACCCACCACUAAAGAAUGUGUGAUCUAGCGACUCGUAAAGGUUAAGGUCACUGACAUAAAUUCAAAUCUGAAUCCAGUUUUAAUAAACUAUAAGAUAUAGAUUGUUUGUAUUUCAACUAUUUUAAGUGAAAACAACUUCUGAAAACUGUACAAUGUACUUGUAAUACCUACAGCCAGUAGGCAUGUUGUUUUAUACUAAUUAAUCUUUCCUGCAAUAUUACCUAAUUUCACAUAGUUUUGUUGUAUCUUUUGAUGUCUGCUUCACUGAAACAGGUCUGCAUAGAUCCCAGUCAGGAGCCUGUUAUUCCUGUCUUUGUUUAUGCAUAUAUUAUAUCAUACUUGUAUUUUGUUCAUUGUGUUGUUUUCUUUACACAAAUCAGGCCAUUAGUUUUCUUGUUUGAAUUGUUUUACAUUUAUCAUUUUGAGGCCUUUUAUUGCUGACUCUACGUUAUUGUUUUUUGCUCAUUAUUGAAGGCCAUACACAUUUACUAUUAUCAUGAUAUUUGUUGAUUUACAAAAGAAGUUUGAAAACAUUUUCAUGAUUUCAAUGCAGACUCUGUGACUGAUGUGUUUUUCAUGCAAGUAUUCGGUUAUCAAACAGCAUAACACUUCUAUACCUUAAGACUAUUUAACAUGAUCAACAGUUUGUUGGUAUGCCUUGACACCUCCCAUAGACCCUCUUUAUAUCCUACUGUUUUAUGAUUAUUCAUCAUUACUCCUUGGUAGAUGUUACUUUGAAGUGUCAUUCAUAGCUUUAAUACCACUUCAUUCUUUCAUCUGCCAAUCUUUCAUUUCAUUCAUUCUAAAAGGUCAAUUUGACUUUUAGUAAAGUCUUUAGUGAAUUGAAAGUACAUAGGAAAAAAAGAGAAUGAUAAGAGAGCAGAAUAACAGGGUUAGAAACAUCUUGAAAAUGUUGGAAAAAAAUCAUCAAUGAAUGAUAUUCUUGGAGGGAGAAGAGGAAGGGGGAGGGAUAUUUUAAAAAUUACAUAAUCUAGCCUAAUGAGACUUGAAAUAACAAUUACUUUGAGACUUAAUCUAGAUUGUCCAGUAUGGUCAAAUAAGGGUCAGAAACAUGUCACUGUGCUAUUAAAUAGUGUUCCCUUGCUGUAAUAUAUAAAAUUUACAAGAAAAAAAAAAAAAAGCCCCUCUCAUGAGGACCCUAGGAGGGUAAGGAGGGGGUGGAAGAUUUGAAAAUUAAAAUCUGGCCUUGUAAGAAUUGAAUUAAAUGAAUUAAAAGUAAUAAAAAGAGCAUGUAGAUAUAUAGCUAUAGGAGAGAGAAAAUGAUAAGAGAGCAGAAUAACUGGGUUAGAUACAUCUUGAAAAUGUUGAAAAGAAAUCAUCAAUGAAUGAUAUUCUUGGAGGGAGAAGAGGGGGGGGGGCAGGGAUAUUUUAAAAAUUACAGAAUCUAGCCUAAAGAGACUUGAAAUAACAAUUACCUUGAGACUUAAUCUAGAUUGUUAAGUAUGGUCAAACAAGGGUUAGAAACAUGUCACUGUGCUAUUAAAUAGUGUUCCCUUGCUGUAAUAUAUAAAAUUUACAAGAAAAAAAAAAUAAAAGCCCCUCUCAUGAGGACCCCCAUUAGGUUAGUAGUAUGUUAUGAUUACAUAUGAUAAUUACUCAGUAGCUGUAGCUUUGAAGUGUCAUUAGAGGUGGAAAGUUUAAUGAAUCAGCUGGGGAGUGUUCAUUUCAUUGUUUAUAAAUAUUAUAACAUGUAAUUGACAGAUACAGCAAGGGAGUGUUCAUUUCAUUGUUCAUAAAUAUUAUAACAUGUAAUUGACAGAUUAAAGCUAAUGACUUUUAUAUCUAUGUUGAUAGAUUUGUAAAUAUAUACAUAAAACAUUAAUAACAUUAUAUACCAUGCUGGGGGAAGGGCAUUUUCUCAUCAUUUCAACUACUCUCUAAAAGUGGUGUCGAGAUUCCCAAAUAUUUUACCCUGCACUUUCUUUCUAUUCAGGUUUUGAAUGUAAAUAUUGUACAAAGAAGAUUUACAUAUAAACAUAUUGUAUGUAUCAUGCUUGGUGAGGGGCAUGUUCAAAGCUCAUUUUUCAUCACCAUUUAGAAAUUUUUUGUUAAAAGUAUGUAGCAAACUUUUUACUCUGCAUUCUUUAUUUCCUAUCUUUUUUCCUCUGGUGCCCUUUUCUUCAUUUAUAUUAUAUGCUUUACGACAAUAAUGGCCUUGGUAAAUUGUAUAAAUCUUGUCAUUUUGAUUUGAUUGAAUUCCUGUUUUAAAAAAAAACCAACCAAACUUGUGGUAAACUAUUCUAAACAAGCAAGGUGUAAAUUUUAAUCUAUAUAAACCUGUGUUUUUGCAUUCCAUGUAUUCAAUUCAACUCCGGGUGCGAGAAUUUCUCGUUGCAUUGAAGACCUGUUGGUGACCUUCUGCUGUUGUGUGCUCUAUGGUCGGGUUGUUGUCUCUUUGGCACAUUCCCCAUUUCCAUUCUCAAUUUUAAUUCAAGUUUAAACAUGUAUAUCAUACUUGAGUGUUUGACUGGCAGCAGCAUGGCAGGAAAUACAUGUAUGUGGUUAUUAAAAUCACAUGUUGUAUUGCAGUAAAUUGUACCAAGGAAGGAUGAUAGACUUAUUUAAUAAAGCUGCAAUUUGUAUAUUACAGAUUUUAAGCUGAGGAAGCCAGGUUUAUGUUUUUUUAGUGAGGUUCAUUUCGCUUAGUCUUUAGAUUUCUAUGUAGUGUGGACAGACUGUUAUUUUUUUAGUGCUAUAUUACUAGCAUUGUCAGUUAUCCUGCUCAAGGUCGUUGGUUCUUCAAGGGCACUCUGGCUUCCAACAAAAAAAGUAGAUCACCACCUGACCACCAUUUGCCAUAGUGCUGAAGUGGCUUUAGGGAGCUACCAUUUGAUUUUUAUAGGGGGGGGCUAGGAUGAAAUUUGAAAAAAAUAGGCAGGACAGGAGUUUGAGUUAAAAAAAAAGCAGAUGAGAACUGCAAAAAAAAAGUCAGGACGACAUUUAGGUGAAAAAAAGGGUCAGGAAAUAAGGACUAAAAAAAAAAAAAUGCAGGACAAAUUUUUCAUCCUAGCCCCCCCAUAAAAAUCAAAUGGUAGCUCCCUUAAACACUUCCAAUCAAUCAAUCACAUUUUUGUACAUCAACUUUUUUCUAUCAUACAAACUUGUUGUUUAUAAAAUCCACAAAUCAGUAGACUAAAACAUGCUACAGGGCACAUCAUAAAGUUUAAUCUGUUAAUUUUGCACUCCAUGUAUCCUUGAAGGAGGCAAGCCAGUACAUGUUCACAUAUUUGAGUGUUUGACUAGCAGGGAAACAUGUGGUUUUAAAGUCACAUGAUAUUUAUGCCAUAAGGUUUAGUCACAUGAUAUUUUACCAUUCUAUACCAUCUUACAGAUGGUGAUGAGUUCUAUAAUUAUACAAUAAUGUCAUCUUACAUGUGACAAAUGAUGUCUAGGAGUACAAAUGUAGUUUGUACUGUGAUUUAUUGAGGGAUGUUGUGACUUAUUGAUACUUGAUCAUUGAUCAUUGACAAAUGUACUUAAACAUACAAAAAAAAAACUUUUUCUAUCGAUUUGAAAGAAACAUACAAAAAAAUCCACUUUUUCUAUCGAUUUUGAAAGAAACAUACAAAAAAAAAGCACUUUUCCUAUUGAUUUUGAAAGAAAAAUAUACCAGUUAAGGUGUUACAUGUACCAAACACCUCUUCUAAAAUAAUUUGGCUCGUAUAACUUUUAUAAAAUUUUGACAAAUAUUUGCUCUGACCAUUUGCUGACCAAAAAAAAAUCAAAAAAAUCAGAAAACGCGAACCACAUUAUCAUGAUGUGUAUUAGAUAUGAAUUAAGUGGAUGUCUCAAGAAGACCUGUUUUAGGAGAUCUAUGUCUGUAUCUGUUUCGUUUUUUUGCGAUUUUGGACAGCUGCCUACCUUACUUUUCAAUCAUUUGUUCCAUGGCUUAUGUGAUCAUAUGGGAAAAAGAACUGAUCUACGAAGAUAUGCAGUUGUCCUAUGCCUUCAUUUAUUCAUAUGAGAAAAAGAACUUGUUUCUUUGAUGAUAUCAGGUGUAACACUUUUUUGAAUAGUUUGAUAAAAGUACUAAGAUGUGUUGUCAGACUCCUGUCUUCCCAACAUUUGCUCCAUAUAUUUUAUAUAUUCAUAUAUAGAAAAAAACAAAUUGUUUACGAAGUUGUGCAUUUGUACCAGGCCUUUAUUUAUUCAUAUGGGGAAAAGAAACUUUUUUCUACAAUGAUAUUCAUUUGACCCAGGCCUUUAUUUAUUCAUACGGGGAAAAUAACUUUUUUUCUACGAAGUUGUGCAUUUGUACCAGGCCUUCAUUUAUUCAUAUGGGAAAAAGAAUGUUAUCUUUGUAACAGGUUUUUAAAUAGCAAGGUAAAACCUGUUUUACUUAUACAUGUAUGCAUUUGAUAUGCCUUUUAAGUUUGCUUUAGUUUAUCUCUGCUGUAAGGCUCCUGUCUUUCCAACCUUUGUCCUAUGCCUUGGACAUGUAUAUUCAUAAAUCGAAAACUUUUUUUAUACAAUAAUAUGCAUUUGUUCUAGCUAUAUAGGCUGCCUUUUAUUCAUAUGGGAAAAAUAACUUGUUUCGUUUGAUGAGAUCAGGUGUAACAGUUUUUUAAAUAGCUACGUUUAUCAUCUAAAACCUGUUUGACUUUGUGAGUAAUCUGAUGUGUUGUUAAGAUAACGGUUUAUCUAUGUUUCAUCUUCGUAUUGUACAUAUAUACUUUGUCAGCUUUUUAAAAUUUAUUCGAUAACAUAUGUCGAAUGAUGGAAAAACAGAGAACAUCGGACAAUUUAUUGUAUUACAUGAAUUUUUUUUUUUUUAAUAUAUUUUAAUAUUAAAUUGGACAAUGUUGGAUGCAUGGAAGUUGCAUUACAGAAUUAAAAAAAUUUAUGUUGUAGUUGGAUGGAUGAAAGUUUUCAUGAUUUUGCUGAUGUUCAGAUUUUGACAUUCGGUUUUAUGACACCUUUUGUACCUUCACCUAUGUAAUAUAUAAUUGUUGCAUAAUAAUGAAGAGAAAAUGAAAAAAAUAUUGAAACUUUGGCUUUCGAAUAGUAAAACUUAUGCAUGAUCUUAAAGGCUUUCUAUUGAGGAUAUUGUGAAUUCUUUUUAAGGUGGUACCCAACACUUUCCUAAAUUAAUUUGCUCGUUAAUUUCAUAAAUUUUGACAAGUAUUUACUUGACCUUUAACCAAAUAUAAAAUUUCAAAAAUUUGAACAACCAUUUUAUCAGAAACUUACGUUAAUAGCAGAUUCACAACACCAACUGAUCAUUGAAAGCUUAAAUUCCCUUUCAACACAACAUUAUUAAAACUUUGCUGGAUUUUACAGAGUUAUCUCCCUUAGUGUUAGGUACCACCUUAAGGUCAUUGAAAACACAUUACACUAGACAUUUAGCAACAACCAAUAAAUCUAAAAAAAAAACAUUUUUGAGCAACUGCAACCAAUAUAAAAUCAAAAAGCUUAAACUUUUAAGGAACCAAUAAUCAACCAAAAAGUAUAAACUUUAAGCAAGAAACAAUCAAAUCAACCUUUGUGUGUCAAUAGUUGAAGACUUUAUGUUGAUAUCUUUGGUUUUUGUCCUGUGUGUUGUCUUAUAGGUUAUACCCCAAAUUUCACAUAAAUGGCACCCUAUUUGAGCAUCACAUUCAAAUUCAUAUAAAAAGUCCACCAACAGUGGUAUCAACCUAAUGGUAAUGCUGUAAAAUAUGAAAGCGAAACAUGCCAAUCUAACAUGAUCUUAUAAUAGAAUUACAUUUACAUGUACCUCAGACGGCUGAUGAAUUGACAUGUAGUGUUACUAAAUUGAACAUCUGGUUAAUUAAGAUUACAACAAUUAUAGGAUCAUGAUGGAAGAAUUACUUCUAGAUUUUAAGAAAUUAGUCUUAUUAGAAUGUGUUUUCAUGUAUUUUGCAGGUGACAUCACGCAAAACAAGCUACGAUAAGAAAUUAGAAUGUGCUUUCAUGUAUUUUUCAGGUGACAUCACACGAAAAGGCUAUGAUAAGAAAAGAUCACGUUUGCUGAACCCAUAUGUCAACAAAAGUCCACCUCAACAAACUUCUGG
This 21880-nucleotide long non-coding RNA is filed under the name Mytilus galloprovincialis (Mediterranean mussel). The record is from RNAcentral. Lineage: Eukaryota; Metazoa; Mollusca; Bivalvia; Mytilida; Mytilidae.